This is a long non-coding RNA of Olea europaea var. sylvestris, 671 nucleotides long. RefSeq lists it as uncharacterized. Lineage: Eukaryota; Viridiplantae; Streptophyta; Magnoliopsida; Lamiales; Oleaceae. The transcript is spliced from 4 exons. The record is from RefSeq and is a predicted model, not a curated record.
CCAUUUGUGGUGAUAUUCACAGGCAGUUCCAUGAUCUUGCUGAGCUUUUUAAGAUUAGUGGAAAGCUCUUGGUGGCUCUGAAAGUGUGUUAUCCUCAACGACUUACUAUUCUAUGAGGAAAUCAUGAAAGUUGCCCGAUUACUCAAGUUUAUGAAUUUUAUGAUGAAUGCCUAGGAAAUUUGACCCAGCUCCUAGAAGGGGUGAGCCAGAUGUAACCCGCAGAACACCAGAUUACUUCGAUGCAGUGGAUAAUAGUAUCAGAAUUCUGCGGGACAGAUGCCUGAUAGCUGCUUUAUGCUCAUAAUGCUCACUUCUACAAAUUUAGAUAUAUAUUUUCCAUUGAUGAUGGGAUGUCAGGAAGCAUGUGAAAGACGCAGGUAAUGCUUUCUUUGAUCGAAUCUUUUCGUGGAACUAAUAGCAAACAUGACGAAAGCAGUGGUGCUGGCAACUGAGAUCACUCCUAACACUGUAAUGGUCGAGGCAUUUGCCCUCUUUUCUUCUUCUAGUAUCGUAUUUUUGUCCCUCGUGUGGAAGAAACAUAUCAAGAUUUUUAAGUUUCUCCAUAUUUAUUUUUUAUCCAUUGGAGUUUCACACGACAUGGACAUUUAUCAUUUUUUCUUCCCUUUUUUAACAUUUGAAUCAACAUUCAAGUCACUUGUAAUUUAAACAUU